AGUGCUUCCUGCAGAACUCUCCGGUCAGGUUAUACUCUGGGACUGAAACUGGGGGUUAGCUCCCACCUUGACAAAAGCUGCCACAGCUGAGUUGGCACUGCGGGUCUCCUCUCCCAGGUCUUUGUUCUUCCAGAAGAUGUGUUCAGACACCGUCUCCACCAGAGUCUCCACGCGACUCAGGCAGUUGAGGAAGUUGGAGGUAGGAGGUUGCAAGAGGUCCAGCUCUCUCUUCUGGCACUGCUGGAAGAAUCGGUUCAGGUGGGGGUCCUGGCACGGAGAGCAGAAUCCAUGAAAAACAGCAGAGAGCAUAUGCGAUAAGACUUA
Long non-coding RNA from Notolabrus celidotus (New Zealand spotty), 324 nucleotides. RefSeq lists it as uncharacterized. The transcript has 3 exons. The record is from RefSeq and is a predicted model, not a curated record. Lineage: Eukaryota; Metazoa; Chordata; Actinopteri; Labriformes; Labridae.